This 481-nucleotide ribosomal RNA is filed under the name uncultured bacterium. RNAcentral's name for it is "partial 16S ribosomal RNA". It matches the Rfam family "Bacterial small subunit ribosomal RNA", at positions 28 to 507 of the family's 1533-position model. The record is from RNAcentral.
GAUGAACGCUGGCGGCGUGCCUAACACAUGCAAGUCGAACGGAGAGUCCGGACGGAUGUUUUCGGGUGGAAGCCGGUAAUUCUGAGUGGCGGACGGGGAUGUACCGCGUGUGCAACUUGCCUAAUACAGGGGGAUAGCAGCUGAAAACGGCUGGUAUGACGGAACACGUGGGUUAAUUGGCAUGAUCGGUUUGGGUAAUGAGCAUUCAGGUAUAGGAUGGGCCCGCGUCGGAUUAGCCAGUUGGCAGGUUAAAAGCCUACCAAAGCGACGAUCGGUAGCCGGACUGAGAGGUAGGACGGCCACAUUGGGACUGAGACACGGCCCAGACUCCUACGGGAGGCAGGAGUGGGGGAUAUUGCAAAAUGGAGGAAACUCUGAUGCAGCGACGCCGCGUGAGUGAAGAAGUAUUUCGGUAUGUAAAGCUCUAUCAGCAGGGAAGAUGAUGACGGUACCUGACUAAGAAGCCCCGGCUAACUACGUG